AUGAACGCUAGCUACAGGCUUAACACAUGCAAGUCGAGGGGCAUCAGGAAGAAAGCUUGCUUUCUUUGCUGGCGACCGGCGCACGGGUGAGUAACACGUAUCCAACCUGCCCUUUACUCGGGGAUAGCCUUUCGAAAGAAAGAUUAAUACCCGAUGGCAUAAUGAUUCCGCAUGGUUUCAUUAUUAAAGGAUUCCGGUAAAGGAUGGGGAUGCGUUCCAUUAGGUUGUUGGUGAGGUAACGGCUCACCAAGCCUUCGAUGGAUAGGGGUUCUGAGAGGAAGGUCCCCCACAUUGGAACUGAGACACGGUCCAAACUCCUACGGGAGGCAGCAGUGAGGAAUAUUGGUCAAUGGGCGCUAGCCUGAACCAGCCAAGUAGCGUGAAGGAUGAAGGCUCUAUGGGUCGUAAACUUCUUUUAUAUAAGAAUAAAGUGCAGUAUGUAUACUGUUUUGUAUGUAUUAUAUGAAUAAGGAUCGGCUAACUCCGUGCCAGCAGCCGCGGUAAUACGGAGGAUCCGAGCGUUAUCCGGAUUUAUUGGGUUUAAAGGGAGCGUAGGUGGACUGGUAAGUCAGUUGUGAAAGUUUGCGGCUCAACCGUAAAAUUGCAGUUGAUACUGUCAGUCUUGAGUACAGUAGAGGUGGGCGGAAUUCGUGGUGUAGCGGUGAAAUGCUUAGAUAUCACGAAGAACUCCGAUUGCGAAGGCAGCUCACUGGACUGCAACUGACACUGAUGCUCGAAAGUGUGGGUAUCAAACAGGAUUAGAUACCCUGGUAGUCCACACAGUAAACGAUGAAUACUCGCUGUUUGCGAUAUACAGUAAGCGGCCAAGCGAAAGCAUUAAGUAUUCCACCUGGGGAGUACGCCGGCAACGGUGAAACUCAAAGGAAUUGACGGGGGCCCGCACAAGCGGAGGAACAUGUGGUUUAAUUCGAUGAUACGCGAGGAACCUUACCCGGGCUUAAAUUGCAGUGGAAUGAUGUGGAAACAUGUCAGUGAGCAAUCACCGCUGUGAAGGUGCUGCAUGGUUGUCGUCAGCUCGUGCCGUGAGGUGUCGGCUUAAGUGCCAUAACGAGCGCAACCCUUAUCUUUAGUUACUAACAGGUUAUGCUGAGGACUCUAGAGAGACUGCCGUCGUAAGAUGUGAGGAAGGUGGGGAUGACGUCAAAUCAGCACGGCCCUUACGUCCGGGGCUACACACGUGUUACAAUGGGGGGUACAGAAGGCAGCUAGCGGGUGACCGUAUGCUAAUCCCAAAAGCCUCUCUCAGUUCGGAUCGAAGUCUGCAACCCGACUUCGUGAAGCUGGAUUCGCUAGUAAUCGCGCAUCAGCCACGGCGCGGUGAAUACGUUCCCGGGCCUUGUACACACCGCCCGUCAAGCCAUGGGAGCCGGGGGUACCUGAAGUACGUAACCGCAAGGA
This 1419-nucleotide ribosomal RNA is filed under the name Bacteroides fragilis. RNAcentral's name for it is "16S ribosomal RNA". It matches the Rfam family "Bacterial small subunit ribosomal RNA". The record is from RNAcentral. Lineage: Bacteria; Pseudomonadati; Bacteroidota; Bacteroidia; Bacteroidales; Bacteroidaceae.